RNAcentral lists this ribosomal RNA (200 nucleotides) under uncultured bacterium. RNAcentral describes it as "partial 16S ribosomal RNA". It matches the Rfam family "Bacterial small subunit ribosomal RNA", at positions 8 to 207 of the family's 1533-position model. The record is from RNAcentral.
AGAGUUUGAUCCUGGCUCAGAACGAACGUUAGCGGCGCGCCUAACACAUGCAAGUCGCACGAGAAAGGGCUUCGGCCCCGGUAAAGUGGCGCACGGGUGAGUAACACGUGGGUAAUGUUCCCUCGGGCGGGGGAUAACCUUCCGAAAGGAGGGCUAAUACCGCAUAAGACCACGACCUUGCGAGAGGUCGGGGUAAAAGC